AUCACAGCCACAACACAGGCUUUGGCACUGAUAGAACUCUAUAAUGCACCCGAGGGGCGAUACAAGCAGGAUGUGUACUUGCUUCCUAAGAAAAUGGAUGAAUACGUUGCCAGCUUGCAUCUGCCAUCAUUUGAUGCCCACCUUACAGAGCUGACAGAUGACCAAGCAAAAUAUCUGGGACUCAACAAAAAUGGGCCAUUCAAACCUAAUUAUUACAGAUACUAAUGGACCAUACUACCAAGGACCAGUCCACCUGAACCACACACUCUAAAGAAAUAUUUUUUAAGAUAACUUUUAUUUUCUUCUUACUCCUUUCCUCUUGAUUUUUUUCCUAUAAUUUCAUUCUUGUUUUUUCAUCUCAUUAUCCAAGUUCUGCAGACCACACAGGAACUUGCUUCAUGGCUCUUUAGAUGAAAUAGAAGUUCAGGGUUCCUCACUCUAGUCACUAAAGAAGGAUUUUACUCUCCCAGCCCAGAAAGGUGAUUCUUUCUUUACCAUUUCUGGGGACUUUAGUCUUAAUUAGGUACCUUAUUAACAGGAAAUGCUAAGGUACCUUCUCUGUGGAACAAUCUGCAAUGUCUAAAUCGCCUUAAAAGAGCCCAUUUCUUAGCUGCUGAAAUCAGUGCUCUUUCACUUCUUCAGAGAAGCAGGGAUGGUACCUACCCGGCAGGUAGGUUAGAUGUGGGUGGUGCAUGUUAAUUUCCCUUAGAAGUUCCAAGCCCUGUUUCCUGCGUAAAGGUGGUAUGUCCAGUUCAGAGAUGUGUAUAAUGAGCAUGGCUUGUUAAGAUCAGGAGGCCCACUUGGAUUUAUAGUAUAGCCCUUCCUCCACUCCCACCAGACUUGCUCAUUUUUCGAGUUUUUAACUAGACUACACUCUAUUGAGUUUAAUUUUGUCCUCUAGGAUUUAUUUCUGUUGUCCAAAAAAAAAAAAAAAGAAAAGAAAAAUUAAGGAGAAUUUUUGGUGUUAAUGCUGAGGAAUUGCUUGAGUGGUUAGUUGUUACCAAUUUCUCUUUUGAACCUUUGGAGCUAAGGAUGCUGAGUCUAGAGAAAUGCUAGUCUCAAGCCCUGUUAAGUCCCUCUGUUUCUAGCCCGUAGUUCAUAGCAUCAGUGAACUGGAGCCACAACAGCAAAUUCUAUCAGCUGUGUACCAUACAGCUUGUGCUGAAGGCGAAUUUCUUGAGCCAUUACUCAGUAUAAAGCACUGAGUUCUAUCUUUAGGAUUUAUCUUUAAGAGCAAAUUUCUGGUCAGCUGUGCUUCUGCAACCUAAAAUAUUUAAAGGGAGGUAGGUGUGGGCAGGAGGAGGAAUGAUAAAUUGGGCCAGGGCAAGAAAAAUCUAGCUUCAUAUAAUUUGUCUGGGACUAUACACCCUAUAUAAUGUUAGUUUUACAGAAGUAAUAUGACUUUUGAUUGCUACAUACCACAAAGAGUUUAUGAACUGAGAUCAUAAAGGGCAACUGAUGUGUGAAGAAAGUAGUCAGUACAUCCUGGCUCAUGCUCUGAAAGAAUAUCCAGAGAGGCUCUCUCAAAGAUCAGGGAGAUGUAUUCCCAUGCCAUGCACCCUGCUUCCCAGCAUUUCUGCAUGGUCAAGUGAGCUUUAUGCUCAUGAGCUUUAAGUAUAUAAUUAUCCAGGAUUUUAAAUCCUCAACUUGUUCUAGCUUGUGAUCCCUCAAAGUUGGGUCAUACGUUAGUGCUAGAUACUAGAAAUUUUCACUUUUCCACUGAUCAGAGAGACA
This 1734-nucleotide long non-coding RNA is filed under the name Homo sapiens (human). Its description in RNAcentral is "HSALNT0012311". Lineage: Eukaryota; Metazoa; Chordata; Mammalia; Primates; Hominidae. The record is from RNAcentral.